Molecule: ribosomal RNA, 472 nt
Filed under: uncultured organism
Description: partial 16S ribosomal RNA
Rfam family: Bacterial small subunit ribosomal RNA
Source: RNAcentral
CACUCCUACGGGAGGCAGCAGUGGGGAAUUUUGGACAAUGGGCGAAAGCCUGAUCCAGCAAUGCCGCGUGCAGGAUGAAGGCCUUCGGGUUGUAAACUGCUUUUGUACGGAACGAAAAAGCUCCUUCUAAUACAGGGGGCCCAUGACGGUACCGUAAGAAUAAGCACCGGCUAACUACGUGCCAGCAGCCGCGGUAAUACGUAGGGUGCGAGCGUUAAUCGGAAUUACUGGGCGUAAAGCGUGCGCAGGCGGUUAUGUAAGACAGAUGUGAAAUCCCCGGGCUCAACCUGGGAACUGCAUUUGUGACUGCAUGGCUAGAGUACGGUAGAGGGGGAUGGAAUUCCGCGUGUAGCAGUGAAAUGCGUAGAUAUGCGGAGGAACACCGAUGGCGAAGGCAAUCCCCUGGACCUGUACUGACGCUCAUGCACGAAAGCGUGGGGAGCAAACAGGAUUAGAUACCCUUGUAGUCCCA